RNAcentral lists this ribosomal RNA (207 nucleotides) under uncultured bacterium. RNAcentral's name for it is "partial 16S ribosomal RNA". It matches the Rfam family "Bacterial small subunit ribosomal RNA", at positions 568 to 774 of the family's 1533-position model. The record is from RNAcentral.
CACGUAGGCGGUCCAGCAAGUUGGGUGUGAAAGCCCGGGGCUCAACCCCGGAUGUGCACUCAAAACUGCUGGACUUGAGUUCCAGAGGGGGUCGGAGAAUUCCCGGUGUAGAGGUGAAAUUCGUAGAUAUCGGGAGGAAUACCAGUGGCGAAGGCGCCGACCUGGAGGGAAACUGACGCUGAGGUGCGAUAGCGUGGGGAGCGAACA